RNAcentral lists this small nucleolar RNA (108 nucleotides) under Olea europaea subsp. europaea. RNAcentral's name for it is "Plant small nucleolar RNA R71". It matches the Rfam family "Plant small nucleolar RNA R71". From Rfam's summary of the family: R71 is a member of the C/D box family of snoRNAs containing the C (UGAUGA) and D (CUGA) box motifs. Multiple nearly identical copies of this snoRNA have been identified in Arabidopsis, and it is thought to function as a 2'-O-ribose methylation guide for 18S ribosomal RNA. The record is from Rfam by way of RNAcentral. Lineage: Eukaryota; Viridiplantae; Streptophyta; Magnoliopsida; Lamiales; Oleaceae.
AUCCCAUGAUUUGGACACUUCCUCAUCAACUCCUUAAAUCUGUUCCAUGCCUCGUGAUAGCUCUCCCCAUCUCUCUGUUGAAAAGUUUCGAAUUUUCAGUUUGAUUUU